CUAUGUUAGGAAGGAGAUAGAAACUGACCACUCAUGGAGCAGAUCACAGGGUUUUCAGUGUUUUCUGAUUAUAUGUGUGAAUGUAUUGGUUCUUGCAGCAGUCCUACAUGGUAGUGCUUUUAUCACCCUGUUUCACAAAUGAGGAAAUGAAGACACAAUGUACUCAAAGCGUCACAGCUGGCCAGACAUAGAGCUCUAAACCUUAGCCUCUAGAACACAAAAUCUCUUAUUUAUUGAUCAACUAAACGGCUGGACCUCUCUUCUCCAGCUAGGGAUUUGAAAUGGCCUCAAGUAUUCAAGCUCUUCUGCCUUCCCUUCUCUUCAGUAUCAUGGUUUUCUCUGCCUGUUGUCAACACCUGGACACGAUCAUCUCACAGUCUGUUGUGUUUAUGGAUGGGAAUAAUUUCAUCUUGUAAUUGUCCUGUGACCAAGCAAGUUAGCACUUGAGAAUAUUUUGUACCCAAAUUUUGAAGCACGUGUUUUAGAAAAGAAGACAAAAUGGGAUAGGUAAACAAACAUUUCCACCCAUUAUCCAGAGCAUCUCACAUCAGUCAAUUCAUGCUGGUUUAUCAUGUUUGAUUGGAAGGUAAAAAUGUAGAAAAUAGCCCAGGCCUGUGGUCGCUAGAACUUGGCUGAAGGACCAACGUUUACCAGUGUGAAAGUAAAUACCAUGUCAGCGUUAUAGAGCAGACAGAAGA
Molecule: non-coding RNA, 698 nt
Organism: Peromyscus maniculatus bairdii (prairie deer mouse)
Lineage: Eukaryota; Metazoa; Chordata; Mammalia; Rodentia; Cricetidae
Source: RefSeq, a predicted model, not a curated record